CAGCAGCCGCGGUAAUACGGAGGGUGCAAGCGUUAAUCGGAAUUACUGGGCGUAAAGCGCACGCAGGCGGUCUGUCAAGUCGGAUGUGAAAUCCCCGGGCUCAACCUGGGAACUGCAUUCGAAACUGGCAGGCUAGAGUCUUGUAGAGGGGGGUAGAAUUCCAGGUGUAGCGGUGAAAUGCGUAGAGAUCUGGAGGAAUACCGGUGGCGAAGGCGGCCCCCUGGACAAAGACUGACGCUCAGGUGCGAAAGCGUGGGGAGCAAACAGGAUUAGAUACCCCAGUAGUCCAUGUCUCUUAUAC
This 301-nucleotide ribosomal RNA is filed under the name uncultured bacterium. RNAcentral's name for it is "partial 16S ribosomal RNA". It matches the Rfam family "Bacterial small subunit ribosomal RNA", at positions 509 to 807 of the family's 1533-position model. The record is from RNAcentral.